Molecule: long non-coding RNA, 1454 nt
Organism: Pristis pectinata (smalltooth sawfish)
Lineage: Eukaryota; Metazoa; Chordata; Chondrichthyes; Rhinopristiformes; Pristidae
Exons: 3
Source: RefSeq, a predicted model, not a curated record
GAGGCUCCAAGAAUAGCUGAUGCAGGUUGUGCAAUAGGUAGUACCAUCUGAUUAAGAGUCCAGAGACAUUGCUGAGGCAAGAGCACAAGGAACUUUAUUCUGCAAUUUGGCCUGUCCUACACCUGACAUUGGCUUUCAGUCCCAAAGUAACCAGAGUUUUCCAUUCCCCAGCAAGGCGGUAGCACCCAUCCCGGGACUGGCUCGCUUCCCCCUGCCGAGCCCUUUGAAACUGAGAUCACUUACCGGUGUGUAGCGUGCGAUCGCCGCCUUACAGCCCCGUGCAGACCCGUAUGAUGACCUUCUGAAUCUCUUUUCUUUCAAGGUGGUUCCCAGGAUAUAGGAAGAGAGCAACAUUUUCCAGCAUCUCACCAAGAAUCACUAUUUUCAGGGUGUAAUGUCGUAUUGUGGGGGGAAGUUUAGUAGAGGAGCUCAGUUAUAACUAAAAAGAAUGAGGCUUCAGCUGCUGGUGGUAUCCCCACUGAAGUUCUAAAACUUGGCAGUGAAGAGCUUUGGUCACAAAUAUAUAAUCUCAUGACAACAUAUGGGACGAGGAGGAUUUACCAGGGAAAUUUGAAGAUAUUGUAACAAUGACCAUCUUCAAGAAAGGAGCCAAGAACGAAUACGCAACAACAACAACAGCACUAUACUGCUGCCACAAAACAACAAAUUUCACAACAUAUGUCAGUGAUAAUGAACCUGAUUCUGAUAUCGGCAUCUCCCUGCUGUCAGUCACAGGGGCAGUCAUUGCCAGAGUCCUUUAUCAUCAGUCUCCCUCCAAUAACCAAAGAGUUGCUCCCCAAAUUGCAGGAUGGCUUCUGUCCACCUCCAGGCACAAUAGACAUGACAACUCGAUGAAUGCAAGGUGUAGCACCAAUCACUUUACAUCGCGAUUUUCAACCACAGGAGAACCUUCGGCUUCGUCAACUCCAUGAAGCAUUCUUCUCAAACUUGGCUGUCCACAGAAAUUUGCCUCCGUCUUACAAAUGCUUCAUGAUGGCAUGAUCCUAACCAACAGGUCUACAACUGAACCAAACUCAGUGAAAACCAGUGUGAAACAAGGCUGAAUCAUUGCUCCAAAGCUUCUCACAGACUUCAGGACUAAUGGGAAACUGUUUAACUUAUGGUGCAACUUUAGUAGUCAAACUGUAUUAUGUAGAUUUGCGCACUAACUGAGGCCGAGCUCCAAGUCAACACUGAUUCAUUCACUGAAUUAUAAGUAACACUGGGCCUCACACACAACUUCCACAAAUAAAAAGGUUCUCUACCAUGCACUUGUUUGUGAGGAUAAGUAUAUUUGUGCGUGAGUAUGUGUGCAUGUACAUUUGUGAUUGUGUACAUUCUCUGCAUAAAGUACAGAACUAAAUUAAGAACUGGUUCUGAAAUUUAUUUUGAUUGGAUUAACUUCUUCUUUGAAAGCAUUAGACAUUUCUGAGCUGAUGUGGAUGUCAUUUCAA